Transfer RNA from Glarea lozoyensis 74030, 88 nucleotides. It matches the Rfam family "tRNA". Rfam says of the family: Transfer RNA (tRNA) molecules are approximately 80 nucleotides in length. Their secondary structure includes four short double-helical elements and three loops (D, anti-codon, and T loops). Lineage: Eukaryota; Fungi; Ascomycota; Leotiomycetes; Helotiales; Helotiaceae. The record is from Rfam.
UCUUUGAUGGUCUAGUGGUCAUGAUUUCCGCUUGUCAAUUCUUCAUUGAAAAGCGCGGGAGACCGGGGUUCGAUUCCCCGUCAGAGAG